GCCCGGAGGCGGGACCGGGGGCUGGCAGGGACCCAGCCACACAGAGGGAGCAGGUGGACGGCCAGGCAGCCCCUUCCCACAGCCCUGCUCCAGCCCCAUGAACCCAUGGCUUGGAUACACUGGCUGCUGUCUUCUGAGGAGCUGAUGUCUUUGUUCGGACACCCCCCCGAUGGCUCUGAUCUCCUCUCCUGACCCUUCCACAUCCAUCCCAGGACUCUCAUCUUCACGACCAGGAGCAAGAAUGCUUGCUGUCCCUUUGACAGCCUGUGCCAGCCAGCCACCAGUCACUUCGGAGUAUUUUCCUAUCACGUGUCUGCAUCUUGCUGGAUGAUCGGUGCCCUUGGUCUGUGGAAAUUCCCCUUGUUUCAUCCGUUGCUUUAUCUUGCUGGUCUUCAUCUAUCCAAGUCCUUGGCCACAUCCUACUCAUACCUUACUCUCAGUUCAUCUCAGCCUUCUAAAGGCUUAAAGAAGAGCAGAUUGAUUCACACGGAGGUACAGGCUGGCUGAAGUUGUCCUUGCUUGGGCUAUCUGGGAACCAUGGGCCGUCGGCUCUUACGGGGUCUCUCCGGAGCUGCAGUCUUUCUGGUUGGUGUGGCUCUCCUCUCUGUACGGCACCGUGGAGCUCAGGAAACCUCGGGGUACCCAGGGCUCAGGGAGCGGAUGCUGGAGAAUCCAGAGCAACAAACACACAAGAGCCCAGAGGAUGCCAAGGGAGGUGGUGGCACUGGGCAGGGAGACCUGCAAGUCCAUUCUCUGGACAAAUACAAGACUGAAGGGAACCUGACCCUUGGGGAUGUUUUCAUAGCUGUGAAAACCACCAAGAAAUUUCACCAGAGCAGGAUGGAGCUGCUCCUGGACACGUGGAUAUCCCGGGCAAGAGAGCAGACGUAUGUCUUCACAGAUGAAGAAGAUGAUGCCUUGAAGAGGAGAAUGGGUGACCAUGUGGUGUUCACCAACUGCUCUACCGAGCAUAGCCACUCAGCCCUCUCCUGCAAGAUGGCUGCAGAGUUUGAUGCAUUCCUGUCCAGUGACCAGAGCUGGUUCUGCCAUUUGGAUGAUGACAACUAUCUGAACCCUGAGGCCCUCCUGAAGCUCCUGUCCUCCUACUCUGCAGUGAAGGAUGUCUACCUAGGGAAACCCAGCCUGAACCGACCCAUUAGAGCCUCUGAAACACUGUCUAACAACCAGACGAAAUCUGUGCGUUUCUGGUUUGCCACAGGAGGAGCUGGGUUCUGCAUCAGUCGCAGGCUGGCAAGGAAGAUGAUGCCUUGGGCCAGUGGCAAGAACUUCCUAAGCACCUCAGAGCUCAUCCGUCUGCCAGAUGACUGCACCAUAGGUUACAUCAUUGAGUGCAAAGUUGGUGGGCAGCUACUGCCCAACAUGCUCUUCCACUCCCACCUGGAGAAUCUGCAACUCAUUCCCAGCUCUCAUCUCAUGCAGCAGGUCACACUCAGCUACGGUGUCUUUGAGAACAAGCUCAACAUUAUCAAACUCAGUGGUCCCUUCUCACCCCAGGAAGAUCCCUCAAGGUUUCGAUCUCUCCACUGCCAUCUCUAUCCUGAUACCCCCUGGUGCCUUCAGGCUGUUGGUUGGUGAUGCCCAAGCUACAGUGGGUACUGGUGAUAUCCCUUCACCUUGUGCAUGUAGGGGAUGGGGCACUGAAGAAGCUUGGUGCUCCCAGCUUCCCCUUAGUUAUGGUGGUCAGGGCUUUUUGGUCCUUGCUGACUACCAGUGGUACAGGACAAGAGAGAUCUGUACCAAAGAUGGAUAACAUGGGCUGGACACAUGGGUGGGGUUCCCAUCUGUGCUGGGGUGCUUAUGAGAGAUGGGAGCAGCAUGCUUUCCUGAACAGAUUAAGGACUGGGUGGUGACUGCUGGGCAUGUGUGUGGAGAUGAGACCCACUGCUCCUUGCUGUGGUUUCACUGUAUUGAAUCAGAAGGGUGCUGGAUCAGGGUACCCAGUGCCAGACUGAGGAUCACUGGAAGUGUGCCUUGGCUUCAGUCUCUCUGAGGCUUCUUUCUCUGCAUGUGCCUGGGCUUCCCCCAUUUCCCACUGUUCCCAGCUGCAGCCCUUUGGCUGAGUCUCUGCCUCGUUAAACUCUGAUUCUACUCUCCCUUCAGAAAUGGAAAAUGUGAUCAGUUCUGUGUUGAAUGAGUGCUGAAAAAACACAGCUCUUGGCCAUCAGAGGAGAGGUGGGCAAGAAACAUAAGAAAUCAAGAAUCAUUCCUUAGCUGGGACAACGGAGAGAGUACGAAAUGAGGAUCACAGGAGGAGAGAUGGAGAUGAGGAUGUUUUCUGCUUUAAGCACUGAAGACUUGAUCUUGUAUGGCCCUGCAUUAUUCCUCUCUUUUUACCUUCUUGAUAUGGGGUCAGGAUAAUCUUUUGCUCUAAUUAUCAACCUGUCGUCUGAGAUUAGACUCCAACUCCUACCUGUGAGAGAGGAGACAUAAAGGAUUAGAACUGGCUGAAAGAGAGGAGAAAGGAAGAGAUGGAGAAGGAGCGCUCGGGAGCGGAUUAGAGGUUACAGCUUUAUAAUCUUCUCUGUGCCCUGACCAAAAAAAAUUGAGUCAUGAAGGAAUGGAAACUGCAGGGCAAAGAGCUUUUUAUCUCUGCAUUUCUUUCUUCCAGAUGCUAAGAGCAGCUUUCUGCCUUCCUGCUAUCCCUGCUAAAGACAACAGGGAGAAGGAGCUAGUCCGAAUAGGCUACAGGCUUUUAGACAUGUUUAUGGAUAACCCCUUUCUCAGCACAGAUCCUACCAUGAAAGCUAGGCCAUUCCUCUCAAUGGGAAUGAACUUUGGCACCAUUUUGUGCUUGUACACAUGAAUAAAUGGCUGGGGAAGAGCAAUGCAGGGAAAGCUGGAAGGCAAAGGGGCUGUUUUACAUGGCAGGCAGCACCACAGUCAGAUAUUUCUCUUUAAAGAGUGCUUCAAAACAGACUGCUGGAAUCAGAGAGAGAUCCUGUAAUCUCUGGUUGAAAGGACACGUGCCCUUUCUCCAAAGAGCUGCUCAGCUUUGAUGCUGCUGAUUUGACUAAGCCUGCUGCAGGUGGGCUGGCAGAGCCAAGGGGGACUAUCGCUAUGCCUCUAUCAUGCUGGAAGCUGGUCACCCUAUUUUCCCAUCCCACCUCACCCCUCAGACACCAGCAUCUCCCGCACAGCUUGCAUGAGGCCUAAAGAAAAGGCAUCAGAAAGACCUUCAACCUCAUCAAAGAGGGACCUAGAAAUGAAUAAGCACUGUAAUUACCAAUGAAGAAGAAAGAGGGGGCCUGUGGAGCUGCUUUCCAGCCUGGUCGUUCUUGUGAGCUUUAGGCAGCUUGUGAAGCAGCUAAGAACCCUGCUUUCUUCUCUCGCACAACAUGUCUUUGAACAGGAAAUUCGUGCUGAGCAGUAGCAGGAACUACGUAAUGGCAGUGACCAUUCUGGGAGAAGUGCAAAGCGCUCAUCUCACACAGCCAUGUGAGACAUGGAGCUCAAAAUAGAGACAACCCAGGUAACAGACAAUCGGUGCAGCAUAAAAAAGUCCUGCCCAAAGGGCAAAUGAUUUUGUUUGAACUUAACUAGAAGAUGAAAAACACUUCCACGAGAAGAAAUAGAGGGAGCUGAUAUACAGAAGGAAAACAGAUUUCAGUGGACCAAUGUGAUCUACUGAGCUUGUACCAAGGCUGCAGCCACAGCUCCCUCCCCAAGCCUCUGGCUAAAGAUGCAGCCUUCCAAAGACUAGCAGUGUAUUAAACAGAAAGCAAAGGAUGAGAAAUGGGAAGAAAGGAGAUUGGAAGGAAACGAACAACCAAGCAGUAGAACUUGGAAGAGCUUUUUAAAGCCGGAGCUCCUGUGGCAGUGACAAGUCUGCCCACAGUUAAAUGGACCACAGCAGCUGGGGACUGAGUAGACGCGUCUGGAAGAAUAGCACUUGUGUUCCACCUUGUUCUCUAAGCUACACCAUGGCAUCCAGAAGAGCUCACAAAGUGUUUGGAGGAGGUGAUGGAUUUUCUGUUAGGCUGGAGUUGUCCUCUUUAAAGUGACAUUUACAUUUAUAUCAGACAAAGCUUUUUCUGGCCUGAGAUUCUUCCAUCAUUUUAGGCUAAUAGGCAGAAGAGGAUGGCUCCACAUUGUCUGGAGCUCAACAUUUAGAUGACUGUGGGAGGGGGAUACAGGGUAGUGCUCUCAGUGGUAUUCAGUGGAAAGCUGAGGGAAAGGGCAGCCCAGUUUUUACUUCGCAUUUGAUGCCAUCAGUUUAGUUUUUGCUUUGGUUUAACUGAGGCCAAGAAAGCCAUGGUUAUAUAUGGUACAUCCCAGUGCUUUCCUCAGCAGACAGCUGCCACGCACGGCAUUUCAAGACCACAAACAGUCCCAGAAAUGGUGGCAACACUGUGUACUAAGCUCAUGCUGAAGUUUUUUGGUAGUUUCCACAUCUAAGCAAUUUCAAUGUCUCCUUCCAGGGCAGGAUAAAGCACAGUUCCAUUUGCUGAGGCUGAUGAACACCUUUGUUUAAUUUCCUAAGAAAAAAUAAAUAAAUUCCUUCCACUGCAUGUGUUA
This is an RNA transcript of Meleagris gallopavo (turkey), 4536 nucleotides long. It is a transcript of the gene named MFNG O-fucosylpeptide 3-beta-N-acetylglucosaminyltransferase, with no coding region annotated. NCBI's taxonomy places the organism in Eukaryota, Metazoa, Chordata, Aves, Galliformes, Phasianidae. The record is from RefSeq and is a predicted model, not a curated record.